RNAcentral lists this small RNA (873 nucleotides) under uncultured Rhodotorula. RNAcentral describes it as "eukaryotic LSU rRNA". The stretch from base 590 to 873 matches the Rfam family "Eukaryotic large subunit ribosomal RNA", at positions 1 to 281 of the family's 3401-position model. Lineage: Eukaryota; Fungi; Basidiomycota. The record is from RNAcentral.
CUUGGUCAUUUAGAGGAAGUAAAAGUCGUAACAAGGUUUCCGUAGGUGAACCUGCGGAAGGAUCAUUAGUGAAUCUAGGACGUCCAACUUAACUUGGAGUCCGAACUCUCACUUUCUAACCCUGUGCAUCUGUUAAUUGGAAUAGUAGCUCUUCGGAGUGAACCACCAUUCACUUAUAAAACACAAAGUCUAUGAAUGUAUACAAAUUUAUAACAAAACAAAACUUUCAACAACGGAUCUCUUGGCUCUCGCAUCGAUGAAGAACGCAGCGAAAUGUGAUAAGUAAUGUGAAUUGCAGAAUUCAGUGAAUCAUCGAAUCUUUGAACGCACCUUGCGCUCCCUGGUAUUCCGGGGAGCAUGUCUGUUUGAGUGUCAUGAACUCUUCAACCCACCGGUUUCUUGUAAACUGGCUGGUGUUUGGUUUCUGAGUGUUGCUCGUCCUUGUGACUGAGCUCAUUCGUAAUAUAUGAGCAUCUCUAAUUCGAAUUCGGAUUGACUCAGUGUAAUAGACUAUUCGCUGAGGACACACCUAGUGUGGCCGAAUAAGAUAAUUGUAGAAGCUUCUAACCCUUCUAGUCAUUUUAAGAUUAGACCUCAGAUCAGAUAGGACUACCCGCUGAACUUAAGCAUAUCAAUAAGCGGAGGAAAAGAAACUAACAAGGAUUCCCCUAGUAACGGCGAGUGAAGCGGGAAGAGCUCAAAUUUGUAAUCUAGCACUUUCAGUGUCCGAGUUGUAAUCUCGAGAAGUGUUUUCCGCGCCGGACCGCAUACAAGUCUGUUGGAAUACAGCGUCAUAGUGGUGAGAACCCCGUAACUGAUGCGGAUGCCCGGUGCUUUGUGAUACACUUUCGAAGAGUCGAGUUGUUUGGGAAU